This 226-nucleotide long non-coding RNA is filed under the name Elaeis guineensis (African oil palm). RNAcentral describes it as "long non-coding RNA (EGUI_LNC077212)". Lineage: Eukaryota; Viridiplantae; Streptophyta; Magnoliopsida; Arecales; Arecaceae. The record is from RNAcentral.
GUGCCCUUCUCUUGGUGAAACCCUAAUUCCUAGUCUAUAAAAAAGGAACUCCUCCCUUGGACAUCCCAUCAUUGGUUCCCUUGUUGUUUUUAUUUUUUCUAGAGCUCUUCUCCUCCUCCUCUCUUCCUCCUUCAGAUAUCUCUUGCUUUGAAGUGUUCAAGGUGUUUGAAGAAAAAAGAAAAGAUCAACCAUCGAAGUUGCUUGUAGGCUAGCACCUCCAAGCCCC